AGUGACCAGUCAUAUCCUAGACAAAGCCUCCCCUCCAUGAAUGAUAUCUUAUCAUCAAUGGAAUGACACACAGAGAGUUAAAACUUCUAGGUCAAAGGAAGUUAAUUUGCUAGAUCAACAUGCAGAUCAAUGUCUUAUGAAUGCUUGUUAAUAGCCAAAUGUUUUAAGUUAUGAUUCCUGUGUAAUUCUAGUUUUAAUUGGAAGAUGA
Perognathus longimembris pacificus (Pacific pocket mouse) is the source of this 208-nucleotide long non-coding RNA. RefSeq lists it as uncharacterized. The record is from RefSeq and is a predicted model, not a curated record. Lineage: Eukaryota; Metazoa; Chordata; Mammalia; Rodentia; Heteromyidae. The transcript has 2 exons.